AGUUUUGCAGGUUUGCAUCCAGCUGUAUGGUACUCUGCUGUGCAAAUCCAUGCAAAACUGA
Molecule: microRNA precursor, 61 nt
Filed under: Ornithorhynchus anatinus (platypus)
Lineage: Eukaryota; Metazoa; Chordata; Mammalia; Monotremata; Ornithorhynchidae
Description: microRNA oan-mir-19b precursor (oan-mir-19b-2)
Gene: oan-mir-19b-2
Rfam family: mir-19 microRNA precursor family
About the family: The hairpin precursors (represented here) are predicted based on base pairing and cross-species conservation -- their extents are not known.
Source: miRBase by way of RNAcentral